GAUGAACGCUGGCGGCGUGCCUAAUACAUGCAAGUCGAGCGAACGGACGAGAAGAUUGCUUUUCUGAUGUUAGCGGCGGACGGGUGAGUAACACGUGGAUAACCUUCCUAUAAGACUGGGAUAACUUCGGGAAACCGGAGCUAAUACCGGCUAAUAUUUUGAACCGCAUGGUUCAAAAGUGAAAGAGGGUCUUGCUGUCACUUAUAGAUGGAUCCGCGCUGCAUUAGCUAGGUGGUAAGGUAACGGCUUACCAAGGCAACGAUGCAUAGCCGACCUGAGAGGGUGAUCGGCCACACUGGAACUGAGACACGGUCCAGACUCCUACGGGAGGCAGCAGUAGGGAAUCUUCCGCAAUGGGCGAAAGCCUGACGGAGCAACGCCGCGUGAGUGAUGAAGGUCUUCGGAUCGUAAAACUCUGUUAUUAGGGAAGAACAUAUGUGUAAGUAACUGUGCACAUCUUGACGGUACCUAAUCAGAAAGCCACGGCUAACUACGUG
This 497-nucleotide ribosomal RNA is filed under the name uncultured bacterium. Its description in RNAcentral is "partial 16S ribosomal RNA". It matches the Rfam family "Bacterial small subunit ribosomal RNA", at positions 28 to 507 of the family's 1533-position model. The record is from RNAcentral.